RNAcentral lists this long non-coding RNA (1771 nucleotides) under Apteryx haastii (Great spotted kiwi). Its description in RNAcentral is "lncRNA (ENSAHAG00000011685.1)". The record is from RNAcentral. Lineage: Eukaryota; Metazoa; Chordata; Aves; Apterygiformes; Apterygidae.
UGUGUGCAACAUCCCUGCACGUGUGCAUACGCACACGCAACACCCCCUGCACGUGUGUGUGUGUGUGCGUGUGCAACACCCCUGCGUGUGUGUGUGCAACAUCCCCUGCACGUGUGUGCAACACCCCUGCACGUGUGUGUGCAACACCCCCUGCACGUGUGUGUGUGCAACACCCCCUGCACGUGUGCAUACGCACACGCAACACCCCCUGCACGUGUGUGUGUGUGCGUGUGCAACACCCCUGCGUGUGUGUGUGCAACAUCCCCCGCACGUGUGUGUGCAACACCCCCUGCACGUGUGUGUGUGUGCGCAACAUCCCUGCACGUGUGUGUGCAACAUCCCUGCACGUGUGCAUACGCACACGCAACACCCCCUGCACGUGUGUGUAUGCGCAACACCCCCUGCACGUGUGUGUGCGCAACACCCCUGCGUGUGUGUGUGCAACAUCCCUGCGUGUGUGUGUGCAUGUGUGUGCAACACCCACCUGUGUGUGCCUCCCCCACCUGUGCGUGUGCAACACCCCCUGCACACAUGUGCAUGUGCGCAACACUCCCUGCACGUGUGCGCAACACUCCCUGCACGUGUGCGUGCAACCUCCUGCACACGCAUGUGUGUGCAACACUCCCCACAGCUGUGUGUGCAUGGGCAAUGCCCCCUGCACACGUGGGCGUGCGUGCAACCUCCUGCACAUGCAUGUGUGCAACACCCUUGCAUAUGUGCAACACCCUGCACACACGUGUGUGCAACACCCCAGCAUAUGUGUGUGCACAACACCCUGGCACAUGUAUGCACACAACACACGUGUGCAACAACCCAGCACACAUGCAACACCCCACACACGUGUGUGUGCAACACCCCGGCACACGUGUGUGCGCGCAACCCCUGUACCACUGCAACACGCCCACAUACACGUGUCCAAAGCCCCCUUCACAGGCGGAGGCUUCCUGUGCAACAGCCGCGUGUCACCCCCACACACGUGUGCUUGUCCUCUGGCUUGGGGCAAGGGGGACCCCAAUCCGGGUGGAAAAACUCCCAAAAUCCAGGGUGGAAACCCCCCAAAAUCCGGGUGGGGGGAGACCCCCUAAUUUGGGGGGAAAAGACCCCAUGGGGGGGGAGGGAAGCUUCUGCAUCCAGAAGCCAAAAAACCCCAAUAUCCAGCAAUGCAAAUGUACCUUUUUUGGGGGGAAAAACCUCAAUAUCCAGCAAUGCAAACACAGCUUUUGGGGGGGGGGAACCUAAUAACCAGAAAAGCGAACCCACUUUUUUGGGGAAAAAAACCCCAAUAUCCAGCAACGCAAACACAUCUUUUUUGGGGAGAAAAACCUCAAUAUCCAGCAAGGCAAAUGCAGAUUUUGGGGGGAGAAAAACCCCAAUAUCCAGCAAUGCAAACGCCCCUUUUUUGGGGGGGAAAAACCUCAAUAUCCAGAAAUACAAAUGCAAACUUUGGGGGGGGAACCCCAAUAUCCAGUAAUGCAAACGCCCCUUUUUUGGGGGGAAAACCCCCAAUAUCCAGAAAUACAAAUGCAAACUUUGGGGGGGGAACCCCAAUAUCCAGUAAUGCAAACGCCCCUUUUUUGGGGGAGAAAAACCCCAAUAUCCAGCAAUGCAAAUGCCCCUUUUUUGGGGAGAAAAGACCCAAUGUCCAGCAAUGCAAACGCCCCUUUUUGGGAGAGAAAACCCCCAAUAUCCAGCAAUGCAAAAGUGUUUUUUUCUAAGGGGGGGGGGGUUAAAAGGCGGCACCGGGACGCCGAGACGAGAGGCGUCGCGACCA